Molecule: long non-coding RNA, 531 nt
Filed under: Homo sapiens (human)
Lineage: Eukaryota; Metazoa; Chordata; Mammalia; Primates; Hominidae
Description: HSALNT0252040
Source: RNAcentral
GGAGAAGUGUUAAGCGAUCAGUUUAAAUCCCAAGCAGUGCAACAUGAGCUGCUGGAUUUGCUAAUGAUCACUCUAAAUAGUGUUUCUUGUAAGCAUUGGCAAUGAACAUGAGAACUCGCUUUAUUCAUUUUCUCUGAUUACAAAGAAGAUGAAAUUUCACGUAAGUGCACUGUAAGAAGCUGCCCAUGUUUCUCCUGUAUUCAGAUAGUUUCCACAAUUCCAUUCUCAUUCUUAGGGAAUCAGUUCUUCCCUUGGUAGAUGAAGGUAGUUUCUGUUUAGCGGAGGACUUGGCCCAUCUUUCCUUAAGGGAUGACAAUCUUUGUACCAUUGCCACAAGUGAAGGCUUCUAGGACAUCUCCAUGGAUGGAAUAAGCCAUUGCAGAAGGAAGGACACCUCCUCAGAGAAUGGCCUUUGAGGAAGAUCCAUGGGAAAGAGGGAAAAGAUUUAAGGAUUUCGGCAGCAAGAUUCAGUAUCUCAGCUCUGGAAACCAGUUGCUUAAUGGAAGCCUGUGCGCUGUUCAUGACCACCCA